GACGAACGCUGGCGGCGUGCUUAACACAUGCAAGUCGAACGGAAAGGCCCUGCUUUUGUGGGGUGCUCGAGUGGCGAACGGGUGAGUAACACGUGAGUAACCUGCCCUUGACUUUGGGAUAACUUCAGGAGACUGGGGCUAAUACCGGAUAGGAGCUCCUGCUGCAUGGUGGGGGUUGGAAAGUUUCGGCGGUUGGGGAUGGACUCGCGGCUUAUCAGCUUGUUGGUGGGGUAGUGGCUUACCAAGGCUUUGACGGGUAGCCGGCCUGAGAGGGUGACCGGCCACAUGGGGACUGAGAUACGGCCCAGACGCCUACGGGAGGCAGCAGUGGGGAAUAUUGCACAAUGGGCGGAAGCCUGAUGCAGCAACGCCGCGUGCGGGAUGACGGCCUUCGGGUUGUAAACCGCUUUCGCCUGUGACGAAGCGUGAGUGACGGUAAUGGGUAAAGAAGCACCGGCUAACUACGUG
Molecule: ribosomal RNA, 468 nt
Filed under: uncultured bacterium
Lineage: Bacteria
Description: partial 16S ribosomal RNA
Rfam family: Bacterial small subunit ribosomal RNA
Source: RNAcentral